Molecule: ribosomal RNA, 545 nt
Filed under: Scinax argyreornatus
Lineage: Eukaryota; Metazoa; Chordata; Amphibia; Anura; Hylidae
Description: partial large subunit ribosomal RNA
Rfam family: Bacterial large subunit ribosomal RNA
Source: RNAcentral
GCCCAGUGACCACAGUUCAACGGCCGCGGUAUCCUAACCGUGCGAAGGUAGCGUAAUCACUUGUUCUUUAAAUAAGGACUAGUAUGAAUGGCAUCACGAGGGUUAUACUGUCUCCUUUUUCUAAUCAGUGAAACUAAUCUCCCCGUGAAGAAGCGGGGAUAACCCUAUAAGACGAGAAGACCCUAUGGAGCUUUAAACUUUAUUACACUUGCUUAACUCACCCUUUAGUCCAGAUGUCAUCCAUUAAAAAUAGCAUUAUAAUAAUAAAUUUUAGGUUGGGGCGACCGCGGAGCACAAAAAAACCUCCGCAUUGAACUAAGCUUAAAGCCUUUAACAAAGAGCUACGACUCUAUGUAAUAACAUAUUAACACCCAUUGACCCAAUAUUUUGAUCAACGAACCAAGUUACCCUAGGGAUAACAGCGCAAUCCACUUUAAGAGCCCCUAUCGACAAGUGGGUUUACGACCUCGAUGUUGGAUCAGGGUAUCCCGGUGGUGCAGCCGCUACCAAUGGUUCGUUUGUUCAACGAUUAAAACCCUACGUGA